Molecule: ribosomal RNA, 1346 nt
Filed under: uncultured bacterium
Lineage: Bacteria
Description: partial 16S ribosomal RNA
Rfam family: Bacterial small subunit ribosomal RNA
Source: RNAcentral
GACGAACGCUGGCGGCGUGCUUAACACAUGCAAUUCGAACGGAAAGGCCCUGCUUUUGUGGGGUGCUCGAGUGGCGAACGGGUGAGUAACACGUGAGUAACCUGCCCUUGACUUUGGGAUAACUUCAGGAAACUGGGGCUAAUACCGGAUAGGAGCUCCUGCUGCAUGGUGGGGGUUGGAAAGUUUCGGCGGUUGGGGAUGGACUCGCGGCUUAUCAGCUUGUUGGUGGGGUAGUGGCUUACCAAGGCUUUGACGGGUAGCCGGCCUGAGAGGGUGACCGGCCACAUUGGGACUGAGAUACGGCCCAGACUCCUACGGGAGGCAGCAGUGGGGAAUAUUGCACAAUGGGCGGAAGCCUGAUGCAGCAACGCCGCGUGCGGGAUGACGGCCUUCGGGUUGUAAACCGCUUUCGCCUGUGACGAAGCGUGAGUGACGGUAAUGGGUAAAGAAGCACCGGCUAACUACGUGCCAGCAGCCGCGGUGAUACGUAGGGUGCGAGCGUUGUCCGGAUUUAUUGGGCGUAAAGGGCUCGUAGGUGGUUGAUCGCGUCGGAAGUGUAAUCUUGGGGCUUAACCCUGAGCGUGCUUUCGAUACGGGUUGACUUGAGGAAGGUAGGGGAGAAUGGAAUUCCUGGUGGAGCGGUGGAAUGCGCAGAUAUCAGGAGGAACACCAGUGGCGAAGGCGGUUCUCUGGGCCUUUCCUGACGCUGAGGAGCGAAAGCGUGGGGAGCGAACAGGCUUAGAUACCCUGGUAGUCCACGCUGUAAACGGUGGGUACUAGGUGUGGGGUCCAUUCCACGGGUUCCGUGCCGUAGCUAACGCUUUAAGUACCCCGCCUGGGGAGUACGGCCGCAAGGCUAAAACUCAAAGGAAUUGACGGGGCCCCGCACAAGCGGCGGAGCAUGCGGAUUAAUUCGAUGCAACGCGUAGAACCUUACCUGGGUUUGACAUGGAUCGGGAGUGCUCAGAGAUGGGUGUGCCUCUUUUGGGGUCGGUUCACAGGUGGUGCAUGGCUGUCGUCAGCUCGUGUCGUGAGAUGUUGGGUUAAGUCCCGCAACGAGCGCAACCCUUGUUCACUGUUGCCAGCACGUUAUGGUGGGGACUCAGUGGAGACCGCCGGGGUCAACUCGGAGGAAGGUGGGGAUGACGUCAAGUCAUCAUGCCCCUUAUGUCCAGGGCUUCACGCAUGCUACAAUGGCUGGUACAGAGAGUGGCGAGCCUGUGAGGGUGAGCGAAUCUCGGAAAGUCGGUCUCAGUUCGGAUUGGGGUCUGCAACUCGACCUCAUGAAGUCGGAGUCGCUAGUAAUCGCAGAUCAGCAACGCUGCGGUGAAUACGUUCCCGGGGCU